Beta vulgaris subsp. vulgaris (sugar beet) is the source of this 1099-nucleotide long non-coding RNA. RefSeq lists it as uncharacterized. Lineage: Eukaryota; Viridiplantae; Streptophyta; Magnoliopsida; Caryophyllales; Amaranthaceae. The record is from RefSeq and is a predicted model, not a curated record. The transcript is spliced from 2 exons.
CUAACCCACUCCAUUAGAAGUUACAAUUUCGGCAGUUUCCUUCACCCUUCUUCCUCUUCUCCCUUCUUCCUCUACUCCUGAUCAUUCUAUGCAGAGUCUCCCACCCGUUAUCUGCAAAAACAUUAUGUGAGACCAAUAGCAGUAGUCGACAUGGCAAUUUCAAGUUCUAAGGGCAAUCGCAAGUUCAUCCGCCAAAAGACAAACUCAAGUUCAGCUUUCAGAAAAGGUAUUUCUUUUUAACAUAAGUUGAGCCACAUUUAUUUUGACUGUGUUAUGAUUAGCCAAAAUUCUAUCAAUUCGAAUUAAGCCAAAAAAAAACUAUCAUUUUUGCAUUAUGGCAAACUCACUAAGAAACAGAACACAAAUUCUUGAAUAAGUAAAAAAUUUGGAACCCACACAAAUUGGAGAAAUAAAAAAAAAAUCUCCUUCCUGCUAAAAAGUUUUUCCCAAACGAACCAUUUAAACCAUAAUUGAAAAGCUAAAUUGGUGAUCUUUAAGAGUAGAUGAAUCAUACUCCUAUCAUAAUUUAUAGUUUUAUACUACUACUAACUAUUGGUAAUUUACAAUCCAAAGAAUUAUUUUAAAAUAAAAAUUUUAAAAUAUAGUAACCCAUAUUAUCAAGUUAGUGAAAAGUGAAAGCAUUUAUACACAUGACUUCUACAAAACUACUACUCCUAUAUUUAUACUACCACUAAGACAUGGAUAGAGAUGAAUCUUAACACUAAUAAAGUAUUACGUUACUCCUUAUCUUGCAAUAAUUCUACUUCCUGCUAAUAUUUUUUUCCCAAAUCAACUUAGCCUGAAUUUAAUUUCUUCAAACUUUCGAUCUAAUUUUUACCAUUUCUUCAAUACAUACAAUACAAUUACCCAGCAAAAAGUAUUUAAAAACGUUAAUUUCGAAAUACAUACACAUGCAAAAAGAAAUUGAGCCGAUUUAACACUCACCUACAACCUGUCAUCUUCAAAAGAUAUAUACCAGGAAAAGAACAACUUUUAUGAUACCACCUCCAUCGCCGCCGUCAACUAACACAUAAACCACCAAUGGUCUUUCCAACUUCGUCGAUCACCACCAUCAAUUAUAAAACUCCCCGAAAUCACC